AUCUUUUUAGUAUUAAAGCUAGUACAUGUGGCCUCCACCCACUUAGUCUUGGUUAAACUCCAAGAAAAGAUA
RNAcentral lists this transfer RNA (72 nucleotides) under Squalomugil nasutus (shark mullet). RNAcentral describes it as "tRNA-Gly". It matches the Rfam family "tRNA". From Rfam's summary of the family: Transfer RNA (tRNA) molecules are approximately 80 nucleotides in length. Lineage: Eukaryota; Metazoa; Chordata; Actinopteri; Mugiliformes; Mugilidae. The record is from RNAcentral.